RNAcentral lists this transfer RNA (73 nucleotides) under Streptococcus pneumoniae. Its description in RNAcentral is "tRNA-Lys(ttt)". It matches the Rfam family "tRNA". From Rfam's summary of the family: Transfer RNA (tRNA) molecules are approximately 80 nucleotides in length. Their secondary structure includes four short double-helical elements and three loops (D, anti-codon, and T loops). Further hydrogen bonds mediate the characteristic L-shaped molecular structure. tRNAs have two regions of fundamental functional importance: the anti-codon, which is responsible for specific mRNA codon recognition, and the 3' end, to which the tRNAs corresponding amino acid is attached (by aminoacyl-tRNA synthetases). tRNAs cope with the degeneracy of the genetic code in two manners: having more than one tRNA (with a specific anti-codon) for a particular amino acid; and 'wobble' base-pairing, i.e. permitting non-standard base-pairing at the 3rd anti-codon position. Lineage: Bacteria; Bacillati; Bacillota; Bacilli; Lactobacillales; Streptococcaceae. The record is from RNAcentral.
GACUCGUUAGCUCAGUUGGUAGAGCAAUUGACUUUUAAUCAAUGGGUCUCUGGUUCGAGCCCAGUACGGGUCA